AAAUAGACUUAAUCGCAUAUUUGUUGAUGGAUACCAACACAGGCUGCCAGUGGCCACUGGCCAGGCUGGGAGGAUCAAACGGGUUGUGUGUUCACCGGACUCUAGCUUUUAGUGCGCUGCACAGUUUAGGGAUGAUUAAUUUGGUGAUUUAUGCUUGGUUCUCGAAUGAUUCGAUUUUAUAUGUGGAUUUAUGUAUAAGCAUUAGUUUAUGUUGGAGCACUACCCUUUGCCCCCUUACUCAUGGUUUAUAUUAUCAUGCACUUUUUGGGUGGAUUCGUACAACAAGUCAAAUGAGGCAUCCGACUUAGCAAGUUCAUGCUCUCGUUUUCCUUGAAUUGCAUCUAAGAGCAACUCAAAGUGUUGAUUUACAUCUGUAGUUAUGUUCCCAAUGUUGAGGUUAGUGAUUUUCUUAUAGCGGUGAAUUUAAUCUGGAUGCUAAUGAAAGUCUAGCUAGGACGAAAUCUAUCAUGUUUCUGUCGGGAAAACUUGUGAUCAACGGGUUUACUAAAAUUGACUUUUGGUCUGUAUUAAUGGGCAUUGGCUAUUGUUGUCAUUGGAAUGCGCUUUCUUGUAGUAGUAGGUCAAGAGAACUUUUAUGCAUAACACAAUGCCUUUUAGUUUAUAGAUUCAUAACUGAUAACUGUAAUAAUAUUAUUGAAGAGUAUUUCCUAUUAGAUAACUAAACUUAACAUCACAUCUCUUUAUUUUUGUUUUUCCUUCUGAGAACCUUAGAACCCUGCUUGGAAGACUAUUUAACCCGUCAUUUUUCUGUUUAUUGUUCAAAAUUGCUUCCGUUAACAUGAUCAUGAACACACAGGUUGUAUAUUUAUUCUAAUCGUGUGUACUUGUGACCUCACUUUUUAUGCCUUCUGCUGGCAUGUUGCUAACAAAAUUUCUUGACAUUAUAUAUAUAUAUAUCGCGCUAUUCGUCACCCUGGGUGAGGAAUAGUCAUUCUUCACCCUCUCUAUUUUGACGUCAAUGCACCGUAUUUUUAGGUUCCAUAAAUUUUGGCUUAUUUCAUACGUAAAAAGAGAACGUAAGAAAAUGUAUAAUCCCCGUAAAAAUUUUUUAUGUUACGUAAAAUUACGAAUGCAAAACAUAGUGUAAAGCAUACAUAAAAUGCGAUAUUUCUGGUCUUAUAACGUAUUUUUUUGUUUUCUUAUAUCAAAUUUUACGUAGUGAAUCAAUAUAAAUGUAACUAAUUGUAUUUCAAACGUAAUUUAUUUAUGAAGCGGUCGUAAGAUUACGUCGGGUGAAGAAUAACUUAUUCUGCACCCUGGGUGAUGAAUAGUAUCACUAUAUAUAUCCUUUCUAAGAGGACAUAAAAUGUUUUCCCAAUUUUCCUUCCACCAUUUGGUAAGCCUUUGCGGAAUGGUCUGGGGAGGUUUGCAACAUUGUCUACUCAUCUGAUGGAAAUCUGUUUGUUCUCUAUCAUGUGAUUCGCUUUGGAGCUGAUGCAGAGUUCGCAGGUCCUGCUAUUUGAUCAAUGGAUGCAACCCAUGGGGCAUGGAGAUGAUGGCAAGGCAUCACGCUGUGCUGACAGCGAGGAAAGUAACUUGGAUGAAGGCAGCGGCAACGGGUGGUUGUCAAGGAAAGCGGCGCGGGGAUGGGGAAGGUGGGUGGUGAGGGAUGAUUGGGUGGUGAAUGGCAGCCGAGGAGACGGAGCGGCGGCGAGAUUGGACGAGCUCGCCUUUGGAGUGCGUGUGAGGCAAGAUUUCCUUCCCGGGUUGGCCGAGGGCCUCCUUGUGUAGGUAGAAGCAGUGAACAUGCAGGGUUAAAGCAUUUUCUUUUGCCGAGGGGGAGGGUAGAAAACAGAAAAGAUCAGAGGGGGGGAUUGGGAGGGGGAUUGGGAGGUCUGUGGUGGGAGGGGGUGGAAACCCGAGCAGACUGUCAUGAACUAAAGUUCAUUUGUUUACUGACAUGUUCAUAUUGUUUAUCCUUUUGUUAUUGAAUUUGGAAA
Triticum urartu is the source of this 1961-nucleotide non-coding RNA. NCBI's taxonomy places the organism in Eukaryota, Viridiplantae, Streptophyta, Magnoliopsida, Poales, Poaceae. The record is from RefSeq and is a predicted model, not a curated record.